Eumeta japonica is the source of this 72-nucleotide non-coding RNA. NCBI's taxonomy places the organism in Eukaryota, Metazoa, Arthropoda, Insecta, Lepidoptera, Psychidae. The record is from the annotation of a GenBank genome assembly.
GGUAGCAUAGCCGACCGGUCUAAGGCGCUGUUGAAGUCUUUGGAGGCGUGGGUUCAAAUCCCACCGCUGCUA